Malus domestica (apple) is the source of this 561-nucleotide long non-coding RNA. RefSeq lists it as uncharacterized. The record is from RefSeq and is a predicted model, not a curated record. Lineage: Eukaryota; Viridiplantae; Streptophyta; Magnoliopsida; Rosales; Rosaceae.
AACACAACGGCACCAUCUCCGCCGUCGCGACCACCAUCAUCACCCCAUCACCACCGCCGUCGCGACCACCUACUGCUACUAAAAUUUAGGCACUCCAUGGACUAAGGAGGAACAUACUAACUACAUAGCUUGGUAAAGGACACAAAUCUGUGCAAUUUAAAAACUGCAAUCGGUGCAGUUUUUUCAAACUACAAUCUGUGCAAUAUGUGCAAUCUGUGCAGCAAACAUUUUUAAACAGUAAAAAUAAAAAAAUAAAAGGACCCAUGUACCCGGACCGAACCGGCCCGUUUCAACCGGGCCGGGUAAGGUCCGGUUCCUAUUUUCAGAAUUGUAAUGCCCGGCCCAGCCCGCCCCGUCUCCUUUAAUUUAGGGUCCGAUCCUGUCCCUUCAAAAAUGGGUUCGUGCCCAGCCCUAGUACUAGUACCAAGAAAGUAAGAGAAAGGUGGCUGCGGCCAACGAGGACCCGUUGCCGACAUUUAAACAGGGUUGUUGGCGAUUGUGGUCAUCCACGUUAUGACUCGUUUGACGACGUUAUGGAAGCAUGUGAAAGCCGACCAUAUA